RNAcentral lists this ribosomal RNA (1705 nucleotides) under Staphylococcus aureus. RNAcentral's name for it is "bacterial LSU rRNA". It matches the Rfam family "Bacterial large subunit ribosomal RNA", at positions 310 to 2016 of the family's 2925-position model. Lineage: Bacteria; Bacillati; Bacillota; Bacilli; Caryophanales; Staphylococcaceae. The record is from RNAcentral.
UACGGAGUUACAAAGGACGACAUUAGACGAAUCAUCUGGAAAGAUGAAUCAAAGAAGGUAAUAAUCCUGUAGUCGAAAAUGUUGUCUCUCUUGAGUGGAUCCUGAGUACGACGGAGCACGUGAAAUUCCGUCGGAAUCUGGGAGGACCAUCUCCUAAGGCUAAAUACUCUCUAGUGACCGAUAGUGAACCAGUACCGUGAGGGAAAGGUGAAAAGCACCCCGGAAGGGGAGUGAAAUAGAACCUGAAACCGUGUGCUUACAAGUAGUCAGAGCCCGUUAAUGGGUGAUGGCGUGCCUUUUGUAGAAUGAACCGGCGAGUUACGAUUUGAUGCAAGGUUAAGCAGUAAAUGUGGAGCCGUAGCGAAAGCGAGUCUGAAUAGGGCGUUUAGUAUUUGGUCGUAGACCCGAAACCAGGUGAUCUACCCUUGGUCAGGUUGAAGUUCAGGUAACACUGAAUGGAGGACCGAACCGACUUACGUUGAAAAGUGAGCGGAUGAACUGAGGGUAGCGGAGAAAUUCCAAUCGAACCUGGAGAUAGCUGGUUCUCUCCGAAAUAGCUUUAGGGCUAGCCUCAAGUGAUGAUUAUUGGAGGUAGAGCACUGUUUGGACGAGGGGCCCCUCUCGGGUUACCGAAUUCAGACAAACUCCGAAUGCCAAUUAAUUUAACUUGGGAGUCAGAACAUGGGUGAUAAGGUCCGUGUUCGAAAGGGAAACAGCCCAGACCACCAGCUAAGGUCCCAAAAUAUAUGUUAAGUGGAAAAGGAUGUGGCGUUGCCCAGACAACUAGGAUGUUGGCUUAGAAGCAGCCAUCAUUUAAAGAGUGCGUAAUAGCUCACUAGUCGAGUGACACUGCGCCGAAAAUGUACCGGGGCUAAACAUAUUACCGAAGCUGUGGAUUGUCCUUUGGACAAUGGUAGGAGAGCGUUCUAAGGGCGUUGAAGCAUGAUCGUAAGGACAUGUGGAGCGCUUAGAAGUGAGAAUGCCGGUGUGAGUAGCGAAAGACGGGUGAGAAUCCCGUCCACCGAUUGACUAAGGUUUCCAGAGGAAGGCUCGUCCGCUCUGGGUUAGUCGGGUCCUAAGCUGAGGCCGACAGGCGUAGGCGAUGGAUAACAGGUUGAUAUUCCUGUACCACCUAUAAUCGUUUUAAUCGAUGGGGGGACGCAGUAGGAUAGGCGAAGCGUGCGAUUGGAUUGCACGUCUAAGCAGUAAGGCUGAGUAUUAGGCAAAUCCGGUACUCGUUAAGGCUGAGCUGUGAUGGGGAGAAGACAUUGUGUCUUCGAGUCGUUGAUUUCACACUGCCGAGAAAAGCCUCUAGAUAGAAAAUAGGUGCCCGUACCGCAAACCGACACAGGUAGUCAAGAUGAGAAUUCUAAGGUGAGCGAGCGAACUCUCGUUAAGGAACUCGGCAAAAUGACCCCGUAACUUCGGGAGAAGGGGUGCUCUUUAGGGUUAACGCCCAGAAGAGCCGCAGUGAAUAGGCCCAAGCGACUGUUUAUCAAAAACACAGGUCUCUGCUAAACCGUAAGGUGAUGUAUAGGGGCUGACGCCUGCCCGGUGCUGGAAGGUUAAGAGGAGUGGUUAGCUUCUGCGAAGCUACGAAUCGAAGCCCCAGUAAACGGCGGCCGUAACUAUAACGGUCCUAAGGUAGCGAAAUUCCUUGUCGGGUAAGUUCCGACCCGCACGAAAGGCGUAACGAUUUGGGCAC